This 71-nucleotide transfer RNA is filed under the name Marmota monax (woodchuck). RNAcentral describes it as "tRNA.Thr". The record is from RNAcentral. Lineage: Eukaryota; Metazoa; Chordata; Mammalia; Rodentia; Sciuridae.
GGGGUUGUGACUCAGUUGUAGAGCGCUCGCCUAGUACAUGAGAGGCCCUGGGUUCGAUCCUCAGCACCACA